This 254-nucleotide ribosomal RNA is filed under the name uncultured bacterium. RNAcentral's name for it is "partial 16S ribosomal RNA". It matches the Rfam family "Bacterial small subunit ribosomal RNA", at positions 524 to 776 of the family's 1533-position model. The record is from RNAcentral.
UACAGAGGGGGCAAGCGUUGUUCGGAUUUACUGGGCGUAAAGGGCGCGUAGGCGGCCUGUGCAAGUCAGUUGUGAAAUCUCCGGGCUUAACUCGGAACGGUCAACUGAUACUGCUCGGCUAGAGUGCGGAAGGGGCAACUGGAAUUCUUGGUGUAGCGGUGAAAUGCGCAGAUAUCAGGAGGAACACCAAUGGCGAAGGCAGCACUCUGGGACGUGACUGACGCUGAGACGCGAAAGCGUGGGGAGCAAACAGG